This 1671-nucleotide long non-coding RNA is filed under the name Equus caballus (horse). Its description in RNAcentral is "lncRNA (ENSECAG00000046567.1)". Lineage: Eukaryota; Metazoa; Chordata; Mammalia; Perissodactyla; Equidae. The record is from RNAcentral.
UAAAAGCAGACCCGCCUGGGAACCAGAGAGAAUUGAGGCCGUCUAAACAGGAAGGGAGGAAGGAGAGAGGAAGAGACAGGGCACAGGGGAGACUAGGGGUGAAAAAGCAACCGCUAAGGGAGAGUCUGACGCAGGGGUGAGGGGUGGAGAUGAGGAAAGGGAGCUUGGAAGAGAAAUUGAGGAAGGACGGGUCAGUGGGAAGACUGAAGGCUAUUGCAGGACUUGAACUAAGAGCUGAAAAAGAACAGAGGAGGAAAAAUCACUACUCUUUGAGUAUUGGAAAAGAUCUACCCGGGAAACUGCAUAAGACUACUUGGAUCCUACCAUCCGUGAGGCUGCAACCCAGGGGUCUUGAAGUCGUUUUCUUUCUGGAUUUCUGGCUGCAAUCCAGUGACACCUGACGGGGGUGGCGAGGGGGAUCCUGAUAGCUGAUUGGCCGCGGCAAGGAUCCUGAAGGAGGCCGCGGUCUGCCAGUGCACCCAGGCCCCAGCUGUGACUCAGCCGCCGCUCUCCAGCACCGGGAGAGGGAACUCUCCGCCCGCCCGCGGACCCACCCCCGGCGCGAGCCGUGACGUCUCCCGGAAUUCACAGCUGCCCUCUCUCCCCGCUGGGCUCCCCCCAUCGGCACGCAGGAGGCUCUUCUGUCGCAGGCGGGAGCUGAGAGCAAACUGCCGGGGUCGUGCACGACUCCCCGGGGCUUCCCGCAGAAGCUGAUUGGCAAGGGGGGGUGGGGUGGGGUUCCGGCAGCCGUUGGUAACCCCCGCCCUGUCCCCUCCGCCUCCGCCCCAGUAAGAGAGGGCUGUAAAAUUCCGGAAGAGAGAUUAGAGGCAGGGGAUGGGUGGGGCAGUGAAUCAGUACAUUCCUUUCUCCCCCUGCCUCCUCCUGCCCUGUUAUCACUUUGGGUGGGUUGGGUCCUCUUAUGGCCUUCUCCUGACCGGUCCACUGGCAGGGUCCAGACAAGCUAAGCAGUGCUGGGCGGGAACCUCCCAAACUCAGCUGAACUUUGUAGAGCCUGGAUCACUUACUUUGCAGUUCAUGACCCCAUUUGGUUUCGGGUUGGGGAAUUUUGGUCCUUGCUUCCAACUGGGUCCCUUCCACAAGAGUAGUUCUUAGGCCUGUCUGUGCAUUUGUUAGUAGCUCCCAUUAAUUGAGCAAGCUCUUGCUCCGAGGCAAGGUCUGUGCUAGGUCAAUCAGUCUUAUGUUCCUAAAACUUUGCAAGGUAGGCAUACCUUCUCUCCUGUUAGAAGCCAGGACUCUGAAAGCUCAGAGAGGUUAGGUAACUUGCUCAAGGUCACACAGUGGCAAAGCCAGGAGUAGUCCCAGCUCUAUUAGUUCCAUAAAUUUUCCACCACACUCCGUGGCUUCCUUUAGCACACUGAAAGGCAACACUUAUUAGGGGGUGGCGAAGUAACAUCUAUGGACCACUUCCCACUGUGCUAGGUACUUUAAAUAUAUUGUCUUUAAUCAUUUACUUUUUUCACAACAACCCCCUGAGAGAGAUACGAUCACCAUGCCCAUAUUACACAGGAGGAAACUUUCGUUAGGAAUUUCAGGGGCAGAGCUGGGAUUCCUGUACAGUCAUAGUACAAAGCCGCAGUUAAUGUUUGUAUAGUGCUUGACAGUUUCCAAAGCCCUUUCAAGAUCUUCAUUUCAGUCUAUCCCAUUUCACAG